RNAcentral lists this long non-coding RNA (303 nucleotides) under Coturnix japonica (Japanese quail). RNAcentral describes it as "lncRNA (ENSCJPG00005020502.1)". Lineage: Eukaryota; Metazoa; Chordata; Aves; Galliformes; Phasianidae. The record is from RNAcentral.
AUGGCUUUGGGAGCCAGACUUUGCGAGCACAUCUUCCCUAGCAGGGAUACUGCUGCAGCAGCAAGCAGGGAAAAUUACCCUGAGUUUUCAGAAACAUCAGAAACACCUUCCCUUUUUCUUCACAAGCAUCAGCCUCUCUGCAGCUCCCUCCUGCAUCAGUGCCAAGAGAGCAAAGGCCUCCAAUGCUGGUGUCAGGGGGUAAUUGUUCUUCACAUGGCACAUCUCAGCCAGCAAGGCCCAGACCACAGACCAUUCCCGGUUAGUCUGAGCUUUCCCUUGUUAGAGAUACAGACUGAGGACUGA